AGUGAACGCUGGCGGUAGGCCUAACACAUGCAAGUCGAACGGCAGCACAGUAAGAGCUUGCUCUUACGGGUGGCGAGUGGCGGACGGGUGAGGAAUACAUCGGAGUCUACUUUUUCGUGGGGGAUAACGUAGGGAAACUUACGCUAAUACCGCAUACGACCUACGGGUGAAAGCAGGGGAUCUUCGGACCUUGCGCGAUUGAAUGAGCCGAUGUCGGAUUAGCUAGUUGGCGGGGUAAAGGCCCACCAAGGCGACGAUCCGUAGCUGGUCUGAGAGGAUGAUCAGCCACAAUGGAACGGAGACACGGUCCAGACUCCUGCGGGAGGCAGCAGUGGGGAAUAUUGGACAAUAGGCGCAAGCCUGAUCCAGCCAUACCGCGUGGGUGAAGAAGGCCUUCGGGUUGUAAAGCCCUUUUGUUGGGAAAGAAAAGCAGCAGGUUAAUACCCCGCUGUUCUGACGGUACCCAAAGAAUAAGCACCGGCUAACUUCGUG
RNAcentral lists this ribosomal RNA (492 nucleotides) under uncultured bacterium. RNAcentral describes it as "partial 16S ribosomal RNA". It matches the Rfam family "Bacterial small subunit ribosomal RNA", at positions 29 to 507 of the family's 1533-position model. The record is from RNAcentral.